RNAcentral lists this ribosomal RNA (229 nucleotides) under uncultured bacterium. RNAcentral describes it as "partial 16S ribosomal RNA". It matches the Rfam family "Bacterial small subunit ribosomal RNA", at positions 568 to 796 of the family's 1533-position model. The record is from RNAcentral.
UGCGUAGGCGGAAUAUUAAGUCAGUGGUGAAAUCCUGCGGCUCAACCGUAGAACUGCCAUUGAUACUGAUGUUCUUGAAUGUAGUUGAAGUAGGCGGAAUGUGUAAUGUAGCGGUGAAAUGCUUAGAUAUUACACAGAACACCGAUUGCGAAGGCAGCUUGCUAAACUAUGAUUGACGCUGAUGCACGAAAGCGUGGGGAGCGAACAGGAUUAGAUACCCUGGUAGUCC